CUUGACAUCCCGGAGACCCUUAGGAAACUAGGGGGUGCUUUCCAUCUGGAAGAAUCUGGAGACAGGUGCUGCAUGGCUGUCGUCAGCUCGUGUCGUGAGAUGUUGGGUUAAGUCCCGCAACGAGCGCAACCCUUGCCUUUAGUUGCCAGCAGUUCGGCUGGGCACUCUAAGGGACUGCCGGUGUUAACCGGAGGAAGGUGGGGAUGACGUCAAGUCCUCAUGGCCUUUAUGACCAGGGCUACACACGUACUACAAUGGCCGAUACAAAGGGCAGCGACACUGCGAGGUGAAGCCAAUCCCGUAAAAUCGGUCUCAGUCCGGAUUGGAGUCUGCAACUCGACUCCAUGAAGUUGGAAUCGCUAGUAAUCGUGGAUCAGCAUGCCACGGUGAAUACGUUCCCGGGCCUU
This 407-nucleotide ribosomal RNA is filed under the name uncultured Desulfobulbus sp. RNAcentral's name for it is "bacterial SSU rRNA". It matches the Rfam family "Bacterial small subunit ribosomal RNA", at positions 980 to 1382 of the family's 1533-position model. The record is from RNAcentral. Lineage: Bacteria; Pseudomonadati; Thermodesulfobacteriota; Desulfobulbia; Desulfobulbales; Desulfobulbaceae.